Molecule: ribosomal RNA, 468 nt
Filed under: uncultured bacterium
Lineage: Bacteria
Description: partial 16S ribosomal RNA
Rfam family: Bacterial small subunit ribosomal RNA
Source: RNAcentral
UCCUCCCUCUGGCGGCGUGCUUAACACAUGCAAGUCGAACGGAAAGGCCCUGCUUUUGUGGGGUGCUCGAGUGGCGAACGGGUGAGUAACACGUGAGUAACCUGCCCUUGACUUUGGGAUAACUUCAGGAAACUGGGGCUAAUACCGGAUAGGAGCUCCUGCUGCAUGGUGGGGGUUGGAAAGUUUCGGCGGUUGGGGAUGGACUCGCGGCUUAUCAGCUUGUUGGUGGGGUAGUGGCUUACCAAGGCUUUGACGGGUAGCCGGCCUGAGAGGGUGACCGGCCACAUUGGGACUGAGAUACGGCCCAGACUCCUACGGGAGGCAGCAGUGGGGAAUAUUGCACAAUGGGCGGAAGCAUGAUGCAGCAACGCCGCGUGCGGGAUGACGGCCUUCGGGUUGUAAACCUCUUUCGCCUGUGACGAAGCGUGAGUGACGGUAAUGGGUAAAGAAGCACCGGCUAACUACGUG